AGCUUGCUGGGCGGAUUAGUGGCGAACGGGUGAGUAAUACGUGAGUAACCUGCCCCUGACUCUGGGAUAAGCCUGGGAAACCGGGUCUAAUACUGGAUACGACCUCCUACCGCAUGGUGGGGGGUGGAAAGGGUUCACUGGUUUUGGAUGGGCUCACGGCCUAUCAGCUUGUUGGUGGGGUAAUGGCUCACCAAGGCGACGACGGGUAGCCGGCCUGAGAGGGUGACCGGCCACACUGGGACUGAGACACGGCCCAGACUCCUACGGGAGGCAGCAGUGGGGAAUAUUGCACAAUGGGCGAAAGCCUGAUGCAGCGACGCCGCGUGAGGGAUGACGGCCUUCGGGUUGUAAACCUCUUUCAGUAGGGAAGAAGCGCAAGUGACGGUACCUGCAGAAGAAGCGCCGGCUAACUACGUGCCAGCAGCCGCGGUAAUACGUAGGGCGCAAGCGUUGUCCGGAAUUAUUGGGCGUAAAGAGCUCGUAGGCGGUUUGUCGCGUCCGCUGUGAAAGCCCGGGGCUCAACCCCGGGUCGGCAGUGGGUACGGGCAGACUAGAGUGCAGUAGGGGAGACUGGAAUUCCUGGUGUAGCGGUGAAAUGCGCAGAUAUCAGGAGGAACACCGAUGGCGAAGGCAGGUCUCUGGGCUGUUACUGACGCUGAGGAGCGAAAGCAUGGGGAGCGAACAGGAUUAGAUAC
RNAcentral lists this ribosomal RNA (695 nucleotides) under Kocuria sp. RNAcentral describes it as "bacterial SSU rRNA". It matches the Rfam family "Bacterial small subunit ribosomal RNA", at positions 77 to 785 of the family's 1533-position model. Lineage: Bacteria; Bacillati; Actinomycetota; Actinomycetes; Micrococcales; Micrococcaceae. The record is from RNAcentral.